Molecule: ribosomal RNA, 481 nt
Filed under: uncultured bacterium
Lineage: Bacteria
Description: partial 16S ribosomal RNA
Rfam family: Bacterial small subunit ribosomal RNA
Source: RNAcentral
GAUGAACGCUGGCGGCGUGCCUAACACAUGCAAGUCGAACGGAGAUUACGGACGGAAGUUUUCGGAUGGAAGACUGUAAUUCUUAGUGGCGGACGGGUGAGUAACGCGUGGGCAACCUGCCCUAUACAGGGGGAUAGCAGCUGGAAACGGCUGGUAAGACCGUAUAAGUCGGCGAGACCGCAUGGUUUUGCCGGGAAAUGAGCAAUCAGGUAUAGGAUGGGCCCGCGUCCGAUUAGCCAGUUGGCAGGGUAAAAGCCUACCAAAGCAACGAUCGGUAGCCGGACUGAGAGGUCGGACGGCCACAUUGGGACUGAGACACGGCCCAAACUCCUACGGGAGGCAGCAGUGGGGGAUAUUGCACAAUGGAGGAAACUCUGAUGCAGCGACGCCGCGUGAGUGAAGAAGUAUUUCGGUAUGUAAAGCUCUAUCAGCAGGGAAGAUGAUGACGGUACCUGACUAAGAAGCCCCGGCUAACUACGUG